Molecule: ribosomal RNA, 460 nt
Filed under: uncultured bacterium
Lineage: Bacteria
Description: partial 16S ribosomal RNA
Rfam family: Bacterial small subunit ribosomal RNA
Source: RNAcentral
CCUACGGGGGGCAGCAGUGAGGAAUAUUGGUCAAUGGCCGGAAGGCUGAACCAGCCAUGCCGCGUGAAGGUCAGUGCCCUAUGGGCGUUAAACUUCUUUUGUGCGGGAGCAAUAAUGGUCACGUGUGGCCAGACGAGAGUACCGUACGAAUAAGCAUCGGCUAACUCCGUGCCAGCAGCCGCGGUAAUACGGGGGUUGCAAGCGUUAUCCGGAUUUAUUGGGUUGAAAGGGUGCGUAGGCUGUGAGGUAAGUCAGCGGUGAAAUGCCCCCGAGCAACGGGGUGAAGUGCCAUUGAUACUGCCUUGCUGGAAUGCGGAUGACGUGGGAGGAAUGUGUGGUGUAGCGGUGAAAUGCAUAGAUAUCACACAGAACACCGAUUGCGAAGGCAGCUCACGAAUCCGCGAUUGACGCUGAUGCACGAAAGCGUGGGUAUCAAACAGGAUUAGAUACCCCUGUAGUC